RNAcentral lists this ribosomal RNA (379 nucleotides) under uncultured eukaryote. RNAcentral describes it as "SSU rRNA". It matches the Rfam family "Eukaryotic small subunit ribosomal RNA", at positions 587 to 972 of the family's 1831-position model. The record is from RNAcentral.
AGCUCCAAUAGUGUAUAUUAAAGUUGUUGCGGUUAAAAAGCUGUAGUUGGAUUUCUGCUGAGGACGACCGGUCCGCCCUCUGGGUGAGUAUCUGGCUCGGCCUUGGCAUCUCCUUGGAGAACGCAACUGCACUUGACUGUGUGGUGUGGUUCCAGGACUUUUACUUUGAGGAAAUUAAAGUGUUUCAAGCAGGCGCUUGCCUUGAAUACAUUAGCAUGGAAUAAUAAGAUAAGACCUUGGUUUUAUUUUGUUGGUUUCUAGAGCUGAGGUAAUGAUUAAUAUGGAUAGUUGGGGGCAUCUGUAUUUAACUGUCAGACGUGAAAUUCUUGGAUUUGUUAAAGACGGGCUACUGCGAAAGCAUUUGCCAAGGAUGUUUUCA